UACAGAGGUCUCAGGCGUUGUUCGGAUUCAUUGGGCGUAAAGGGUGUGUAGGUGGCGCGCUAAGUCGGGUGUGAAAUUUCGGAGCUUAACUCCGAAACUGCAUUCGAUACUGGCGUGCUUGGGGACUGGAGAGGAGACUGGAAUUCAUGGUGUAGCAGUGAAAUGCGUAGAGAUCAUGAGGAAGACCAGUGGCGAAGGCGGGUCUCUGGACAAUUCCUGACACUGAGACACGAAGGCCAGGGGAGCAAACGGG
Molecule: ribosomal RNA, 253 nt
Filed under: uncultured bacterium
Lineage: Bacteria
Description: partial 16S ribosomal RNA
Rfam family: Bacterial small subunit ribosomal RNA
Source: RNAcentral